RNAcentral lists this transfer RNA (72 nucleotides) under Heterocephalus glaber (naked mole-rat). It matches the Rfam family "tRNA". From Rfam's summary of the family: Transfer RNA (tRNA) molecules are approximately 80 nucleotides in length. Lineage: Eukaryota; Metazoa; Chordata; Mammalia; Rodentia; Bathyergidae. The record is from Rfam by way of RNAcentral.
AGGGAUGUGGUUCAGUGGCAGAGCCUUUGCCUGUCAUGCAUGAGACUCUGGGUUUGAUCCCCAGUGCUUCAA